This 541-nucleotide ribosomal RNA is filed under the name uncultured bacterium. Its description in RNAcentral is "bacterial SSU rRNA". It matches the Rfam family "Bacterial small subunit ribosomal RNA", at positions 355 to 896 of the family's 1533-position model. The record is from RNAcentral.
UAAGGAAUAUUGGUCAAUGGGCGCAAGCCUGAACCAGCCAUGCCGCGUGCAGGAAGACGGCCCUACGGGUUGUAAACUGCUUUUGUACCGGAAUAAACCUCUUUAUGUAUAAGGAGCUGAAUGUACGGUAAGAAUAAGGAUCGGCUAACUCCGUGCCAGCAGCCGCGGUAAUACGGAGGAUCCAAGCGUUAUCCGGAUUUAUUGGGUUUAAAGGGUGCGUAGGUGGCCUAUUAAGUCAGGGGUGAAAGACGGUAGCUUAACUAUCGCAGUGCCUUUGAUACUGAUGGGCUUGAAUACAGUUGAAGUGGGCGGAAUGUGACAAGUAGCGGUGAAAUGCAUAGAUAUGUCACAGAACACCGAUUGCGAAGGCAGCUCACUAAAGUGUGAUUGACACUGAGGCACGAAAGCGUGGGGAUCAAACAGGAUUAGAUACCCUGGUAGUCCACGCCCUAAACGAUGAAUACUCGAUGUUGGCGAUAUACGGUCAGCGUCUAAGCGAAAGCGUUAAGUAUUCCACCUGGGGAGUACGCCCGCAAGGGUG